This 333-nucleotide long non-coding RNA is filed under the name Lathyrus oleraceus (garden pea). RNAcentral describes it as "Pisum sativum (pea) long non-coding RNA (PSAT_LNC013912)". Lineage: Eukaryota; Viridiplantae; Streptophyta; Magnoliopsida; Fabales; Fabaceae. The record is from RNAcentral.
UUAAAUGCUAAAAUAUCUCCAAGAACAAAAGCAUACAAUAACUCUCAUAAUCUAAUUUUCUCAUGAUAUGGUUGUUGUUAAGUAGAGGACCUAAUUAUUUCAAACUUAAUUAAACACCACUACUACUAAUUAACAUUAUAAUCUAAUUAAUGAAAUUAAAACUUAAAAAAAAAUCACUUAUUCAAGUCGAUGAGAAUGAUGAAUUUAUUAUCAAACUUUCCAAGCCAACUCUAAAGAGUUCCUCAAACAAUUUCGAUGCAUGAACCACUCAAAAGGUAUUCAAUUCAUUUGCACAUCACAGUCAAUUUAAAGGCCAAAAAAUAACCAUGCAAU